UACGUAGGUGGCAAGCGUUGUCCGGAUUUACUGGGCGUAAAGGGCGCGUAGGUGGAUAUUUAAGUGGGAUGUGAAAUACCCGGGCUUAACCUGGGUGCUGCAUUCCAAACUGGAUAUCUAGAGUGCAGGAGAGGAAAGGAGAAUUCCUAGUGUAGCGGUGAAAUGCGUAGAGAUUAGGAAGAAUACCAGUGGCGAAGGCGCCUUUCUGGACUGUAACUGACACUGAGGCUCGAAAGCGUGGGGAGCAAACAGG
This 253-nucleotide ribosomal RNA is filed under the name uncultured bacterium. RNAcentral's name for it is "partial 16S ribosomal RNA". It matches the Rfam family "Bacterial small subunit ribosomal RNA", at positions 524 to 776 of the family's 1533-position model. The record is from RNAcentral.